UUUUAUUUGAGAGUUUGAUCCUGGCUCAGGAUGAACGCUGGCGGCGUGCCUAACACAUGCAAGUUGAGCGAUUUACUUCGGUAAAGAGCGGCGGACGGGUGAGUAACGCGUGGGUAACCUACCCUGUACACACGGAUAACAUACCGAAAGGUAUGCUAAUACGGGAUAAUAUAUUUGAGAGGCAUCUCUUGAAUAUCAAAGGUGAGCCAGUACAGGAUGGACCCGCGUCUGAUUAGCUAGUUGGUAAGGUAACGGCUUACCAAGGCGACGAUCAGUAGCCGACCUGAGAGGGUGAUCGGCCACAUUGGAACUGAGACACGGUCCAAACUCCUACGGGAGGCAGCAGUGGGGAAUAUUGCACAAUGGGCGAAAGCCUGAUGCAGCAACGCCGCGUGAGUGAUGAAGGCCUUCGGGUCGUAAAACUCUGUCCUCAAGGAAGAUAAUGACGGUACUUGAGGAGGAAGCCCCGGCUAACUACGUGCCAGCAGCCGCGGUAAUACGUAGGGGGCUAGCGUUAUCCGGAUU
Molecule: ribosomal RNA, 525 nt
Filed under: Clostridioides difficile
Lineage: Bacteria; Bacillati; Bacillota; Clostridia; Peptostreptococcales; Peptostreptococcaceae
Description: bacterial SSU rRNA
Rfam family: Bacterial small subunit ribosomal RNA
Source: RNAcentral